This is a ribosomal RNA of 538 nucleotides. It matches the Rfam family "Bacterial large subunit ribosomal RNA", at positions 1845 to 2596 of the family's 2925-position model.
ACAAAAAGUCGUGCCUUCCCAGUGGGCAUUCGAGCCUAAACGGACGCGGUAAAUCGUGCUAAGGUAGCUAAAUUAUGGUCUAUUAAUUGUAGGUCUUGUGAAUGGUUUGACGAGUCUUCGACUGUCUCUAGGUUGUUUUGGUGAACUUGAAUUGGAUGUGUAAAUGCUUCCGUGGGUGAGAAAGACGAGAAGACCCCGUGAAGUUAGAAAUUAUAGCGUAUGAGAAUGUUAUCUCUCUCUUGGUUUAAGGUCAAGGUGUUUUGGGGCUCGGUUGGCUCUGGAGUGGGGGGGUGUAGUGAUUAGUUUUUGCUGGGGCAGCAAAAAGGCAAAUCUAGACCUUAAUUGUGUUAUAGAACGGGUGCGUUACGACCCACGGGCAAAAAGGUGUGAUUAGCAGAAGGAGUUACUCCGGGGAUAACAGCGUUAUCCGUCCUGAGAGUUCUUAUUGGCGGACGGGUUUGCGACCUCGAUGUUGGCUCUGGAUAUCCUGGGGCUUGCAGGCGGUCCCAAGGGUUGGUUCGUUCGCCCAUUAAAAUCC